Molecule: ribosomal RNA, 267 nt
Filed under: uncultured Thalassobacter sp.
Lineage: Bacteria; Pseudomonadati; Pseudomonadota; Alphaproteobacteria; Rhodobacterales; Roseobacteraceae
Description: partial 16S ribosomal RNA
Rfam family: Bacterial small subunit ribosomal RNA
Source: RNAcentral
UGCAAGUCGAGCGCACCUUCGGGUGAGCGGCGGACGGGUUAGUAACGCGUGGGAAUAUACCCAAUGGUACGGAAUAGCCUCUGGAAACGGAGAGUAAUACCGUAUGUGCCCUUCGGGGGAAAGAUUUAUCGCCAUUGGAUUAGCCCGCGUUGGAUUAGGUAGUUGGUGGGGUAAUGGCCUACCAAGCCUACGAUCCAUAGCUGGUUUGAGAGGAUGAUCAGCAACACUGGGACUGAGACACGGCCCAGACUCCUACGGGAGGCAGCA